AGUCGAAACUGGGGCUACGUGCCUCAGUCUGUCGGGGAUGACCUCCCGGCACUGACGACCGCGAAUG
Molecule: non-coding RNA, 67 nt
Filed under: Brevibacillus choshinensis
Lineage: Bacteria; Bacillati; Bacillota; Bacilli; Caryophanales; Paenibacillaceae
Source: RNAcentral